Long non-coding RNA from Gorilla gorilla gorilla (western lowland gorilla), 1028 nucleotides. RefSeq lists it as uncharacterized. The transcript is spliced from 3 exons. The record is from RefSeq and is a predicted model, not a curated record. NCBI's taxonomy places the organism in Eukaryota, Metazoa, Chordata, Mammalia, Primates, Hominidae.
CUCCUGAAUCCAACAUAUUCUAGCUGAAACGGAUCCCAGGACGGAAUGCUGGAGAGAUGCAUAUUCCAGCUACAGGCCCUCAGAGCUCAGUGAAACGAAGUCUCAGUAUGUUGCCCAAGCUGGUCUUGAACUCCUGGUCUUAAGUGAUCUCCUUGCCUCAGCCUCCCGAGUACUUCUCAGUUUUCUAUACAAAUCUCUCAUCUAUCCCUAACCUCUCAGUGGAGAAACUCCAAGAUGAACCCCAAAGAUCUCCAUCUCCAGCUGUUCACACUGCUAUGUAAUCUCUAGCCCUUGGGUGUGGAAAGGACUUGUGACUUGCUUUAACCAACAACAGAAUAUAGCAAAGGUAAAAGGAUGUCAUUUCUGUGAUUAGACUAUAUAAGAUUGUGACUUCUGUCUUGCUAGCAGACUCUACUGCUUUCUCAGUUUGCAUGCUAGAAUAAAGUAAGCAACUACUUUGGAGAGGCCCACAUGGUAAGGACUGAGGGCAGCUUCUUGGCAAUCACCAGCUAGGAACUGAGUUCCUUAGUCUAACAGGUCUUCAGAUCCUGAAUCCUGCCAAGAGCCCUGGCUGGUGCCUCUUCUUCCAUUGAACCUUCAGAUGAAAACCUGGCCUUUGCCAAUAUUUGACUGUAGCCUGUGAGAGACCCUGAAGCAGAGAACCCAGCUCAGCUACAUCCAGAUUCCUGAGCCACAGAAAAUGAGAUUAUGUGUGUAUUGUUUGAAGCUGCUAAGUUUUGUGGUAAGUUGUUGCACAGAAGUAGAUAAUUAAUACAAUUAUGUUUAUGUGAUUCAUCUAUACUGCUAUAUUUUAGUUGUAGUUAUUUCACUGCUCUUUUCUAAUAUUUAUCUAGUCAACUGCUAAUGUGCAGUUGGAAGGUUUUCAGUUUGGACUAUUAUGAAUAUAGGUGCUAUAAAAAUUCUUGUACAUGUCUUUUGAUGGACAUAUAUUCAUAGUUCCAUUGGGUAUUUAUAUAAAAAUAGAAUCACUGAAUAUGUUCAGCUUUAGUAGAUGUUGCCAAACCUAU